Small nuclear RNA from Oncorhynchus tshawytscha (Chinook salmon), 175 nucleotides. Its record names the gene U2. It matches the Rfam family "U2 spliceosomal RNA". From Rfam's summary of the family: U2 is a small nuclear RNA (snRNA) component of the spliceosome (involved in pre-mRNA splicing). Complementary binding between U2 snRNA (in an area lying towards the 5' end but 3' to hairpin I) and the branchpoint sequence (BPS) of the intron results the bulging out of an unpaired adenosine, on the BPS, which initiates a nucleophilic attack at the intronic 5' splice site, thus starting the first of two transesterification reactions that mediate splicing. Lineage: Eukaryota; Metazoa; Chordata; Actinopteri; Salmoniformes; Salmonidae. The record is from Ensembl.
AUUGAUUGUAAAUAAAUUAUUUUUUCUAAAAUCUGUUCUCAUCAGUUUAGUAUCUGAUACGUCCCCCAUCGGGGGACUACAUAUUAAAUGGAUUUUUCGAACAGGGAGUCGGAAAUGGGGCUUGCUCCACGCAUCGACCCGGUAUUGCAGUACCUCCGGGAACGGUGCAACACUU